UACGUAGGUGGCAAGCGUUGUCCGGAUUUACUGGGCGUAAAGGGCGUGCAGGCGGUCUGUUAAGUUCAGGGUGAAAGCUCCCGGCUCAACUGGGAGAGGUCCUUGGAUACUGGCAGACUUGAGGGAGGUAGAGGAGAGUGGAAUUCCCGGUGUAGUGGUGAUAUGCGUAGAUAUCGGGAGGAACACCAGUGGCGAAGGCGGCUCUCUGGGCCUUUCCUGACGCUGAGGAGCGAAAGCGUGGGGAGCGAACAGG
Molecule: ribosomal RNA, 253 nt
Filed under: uncultured bacterium
Lineage: Bacteria
Description: partial 16S ribosomal RNA
Rfam family: Bacterial small subunit ribosomal RNA
Source: RNAcentral